UACUUUUUACACUCCACGUCAUCUUCUCUCUCUUCCACCUAAUAAUUCAACAUCCAUUCAACUUUUACUCACUACAAUGGUUUUGUUUAAUAAAAUUCAACACCCUAUCCCACCACUUUUAUAAUUCAUAUUCUUAUUUUUUUAUGUUUUUGUUUUUGUGAUUAUAUAUUAAUAACAAUUAUCAAUUGAAAUUAAAUUAAAAUAAUUUAUUUUAUUUUAUUUUCUAAUUUAAUAACUUAUUUGAAUUUUAUUUUUCUAAUUUUAUAUUUUUAGUUAAUUUUUU
RNAcentral lists this long non-coding RNA (283 nucleotides) under Lathyrus oleraceus (garden pea). RNAcentral's name for it is "Pisum sativum (pea) long non-coding RNA (PSAT_LNC016804)". The record is from RNAcentral. Lineage: Eukaryota; Viridiplantae; Streptophyta; Magnoliopsida; Fabales; Fabaceae.